GUUGUAUGGUUAAGUGACUAAGCGUACACGGUGGAUGCCUGGGCAGUCAGAGGCGAUGAAGGACGUACUAACUUGCGAUAAGCGUAGAUGAGGCAGUAAGAGCCACUUGAGUCUACGAUUUCCGAAUGGGGAAACCCAACUGCAUAAGCAGUUAUCUCAAUGUGAAUUCAUAGCAUUGUGAGGCGAACCGGGGGAACUGAAACAUCUAAGUACCCCGAGGAAGAGAAAUCAACCGAGAUUCCGGCAGUAGCGGCGAGCGAAACCGGAUUAGCCCUUAAGCUAAUCUUGCGUUAGGUGAACAUGCUGGAAAGCAUGGCAAUAAAGGGUGAUAGCCCCGUAACCAACAGCGCUUUAUUAGUGAAAUCGAGUAGGACGGGACACGUGUUAUCCUGUCUGAAUAUGGGGGGACCAUCCUCCAAGGCUAAAUACUCCUGACUGACCGAUAGUGAACCAGUACCGUGAGGGAAAGGCGAAAAGUACCCCUGUGAGG
RNAcentral lists this ribosomal RNA (490 nucleotides) under Photobacterium damselae. Its description in RNAcentral is "partial 23S ribosomal RNA". It matches the Rfam family "Bacterial large subunit ribosomal RNA", at positions 1 to 534 of the family's 2925-position model. Lineage: Bacteria; Pseudomonadati; Pseudomonadota; Gammaproteobacteria; Vibrionales; Vibrionaceae. The record is from RNAcentral.